CGCCUCUUGCAAUCCAUAAGAGGUCCAGCCUGCCCAGUGAUAAAAUUCAACGGCCGCGGUAUCCUAACCGUGCGAAGGUAGCGUAAUCACUUGUUCUUUAAAUGAGGACUAGUAUGAAUGGCACCACGAAGGUUAUACUGUCUCCUCUUUCUAAUCAAUGAAACUGAUCCCCCCGUGAAGAAGCGGGGAUAAAAUUAUAAGACGAGAAGACCCUAUGGAGCUUUAAACUAACGCAACACUAGCAUUAAUACCACUAUAUUCCAGAAUUAUAAAAACCAUUUCAGCUAGCAUGAUUGCUAGUUUUAGGUUGGGGUGACCAUGGAGCAUAAAAUAACCUCCACGCAGAACGGGACCAUUCCUGAGCCAAAAGCUACGACUUUAAGCACUAAUAAAUUAACAUUAAUUGACCCAAUAUAUUGAUCAACGAACCAAGUUACCCUAGGGAUAACAGCGCA
Molecule: ribosomal RNA, 455 nt
Filed under: Dendropsophus cf. stingi
Lineage: Eukaryota; Metazoa; Chordata; Amphibia; Anura; Hylidae
Description: partial 16S ribosomal RNA
Rfam family: Bacterial large subunit ribosomal RNA
Source: RNAcentral